RNAcentral lists this ribosomal RNA (321 nucleotides) under uncultured bacterium. RNAcentral's name for it is "bacterial SSU rRNA". It matches the Rfam family "Bacterial small subunit ribosomal RNA", at positions 470 to 789 of the family's 1533-position model. The record is from RNAcentral.
UGACGGUACCUGACUAAGAAGCCCCGGCUAACUACGUGCCAGCAGCCGCGGUAAUACGUAGGGGGCAAGCGUUAUUCGGAUUUACUGGGUGUAAAGGGUGCGUAGGUGGUAUGGUAAGUCAGAAGUGAAAACCCGGGGCUCAACCCCGUGGAUUGCUUUUGAAACUAUCAAACUAGAGUACCGGAGAGGUAAGCGGAAUUCCUAGUGUAGCGGUGAAAUGCGUAGAUAUUAGGAGGAACACCAGUGGCGAAGGCGGCUUACUGGACUGUAACUGACGUUGAGGCUCGAAAGCGUGGGGAGCAAACAGGAUUAGAUACCCUG